RNAcentral lists this long non-coding RNA (460 nucleotides) under Heterocephalus glaber (naked mole-rat). RNAcentral describes it as "lncRNA (ENSHGLG00000042139.1)". The record is from RNAcentral. Lineage: Eukaryota; Metazoa; Chordata; Mammalia; Rodentia; Bathyergidae.
GCCUGCGGGGCCCGGCUUCUCCCCGGGGAGGUGGCGCCUCAAGGUCGACCUCUGCUGUGAUGCAGACAGGAUCCUGCUGCAGUCCCCUCAGUCCACUUAGUAAAUUGCUGUGUGGGCCAAGAUGUGGACUCCGCCGGCCCCGACCCUCCGCUGUUCCCGGUCCCGGAUUAGCUAAUGAAUACCCGCGUAGCCACAGACCCCGAGCCCGCAGACUGCGCUCAGAUGCCAGCACUGAGGGUUAUUUUAUUUUAGCCCAUCUUCAAACAGUGAGGAGGUGGAAGCUGAGGUUCCUUUCUCCACGCACCUUCCAGCGACUUCUGCUCAAGAACUGACCUCUAUGUCUGCCUCCCAACGCUGGCAUCGCACCUUGCUCUGCGAGAGACCCUUGUAUUCCAUGUGGCGUGAACAUUUCUGAGCUUUUCAUCAGAAGAGGAAGGGUCGGGUUUUCAAGUAGACGCGU